AUUGAACGCUGGCGGCAUGCCUUACACAUGCAAGUCGAACGGUAACAGGUCUUCGGAUGCUGACGAGUGGCGAACGGGUGAGUAAUACAUCGGAACGUGCCCAGACGUGGGGGAUAACGAGGCGAAAGCUUUGCUAAUACCGCAUACGAUCUAAGGAUGAAAGCAGGGGACCGCAAGGCCUUGCGCGUUUGGAGCGGCCGAUGGCAGAUUAGGUAGUUGGUGGGAUAAAAGCUUACCAAGCCGACGAUCUGUAGCUGGUCUGAGAGGACGACCAGCCACACUGGGACUGAGACACGGCCCAGACUCCUACGGGAGGCAGCAGUGGGGAAUUUUAGACAAUGGGCGAAAGCCUGAUCCAGCAAUGCCGCGUGCAGGAUGAAGGCCUUCGGGUUGUAAACUGCUUUUGUACGGAACGAAAAGGCUCUGGCUAAUACCUGGGGCACAUGACGGUACCGUAAGAAUAAGCACCGGCUAACUACGUG
This 482-nucleotide ribosomal RNA is filed under the name uncultured bacterium. RNAcentral's name for it is "partial 16S ribosomal RNA". It matches the Rfam family "Bacterial small subunit ribosomal RNA", at positions 30 to 507 of the family's 1533-position model. The record is from RNAcentral.